AUUUAUUAUCAUAAAAUUCAGAAACAAAUAUUUUUACACUGUUUCAACCAUUUUCCAAAUGAAACUAACACUUUAGUCAAUAUAGUUUGCUGCAAUUUAGUUUCCUAAGCAGUUCCUGUUAGUUAUAAGUUUUCUGUUGUGUUGGUUUAGGGUGUCAGCAACUCCCCAAAGACAAAGAGUCUAAUUGGACCAAUAAGCGACUGGGUGAUGGAUUGGAGAACUUUCUGCCGCCACCCUACAAGAAACAGAACAUCACCUUCCUCUGCGGCGACUAUGUCGGCCCUGUUUCUUCUUGGUCCCAGAUGGACAACUUCAGCAUCAACUGGUGUCUUGGAGACAAGGAUAUUGAAGUCCUGGACUGUAGCACCGGCCUCCUUGUUGAUGGCUCUCCUACUGUGAGUGGACCUGGGUUCUCCAGCAGACUCUGUAAGAGAGCCCUUUACCAGUAUUUCCUCACGGCUGCAAAGUUAGGUGGACAUGACUAUCUCCUGAAACUUCCCACCUACCACAGCGUCAAGCAAGUGCCUGCUCCAGCCAGAUGUUGGAUACAUGUCCCUGUGUGAAGGCGGACCUCCGGUGUCUGUGGGGUUCCUCUGAGCUCGAGGAAGGACCAGGGAAUUGACGAGAAGGCCUGGAAGGAAGUCCCUCUCUGGCUGGAGUCAGAGGACGCAGAUGUGCUUUCUGUGGAGUUGGACUUCACAGAGUGGACCGAUGGCAGCGACUUUCCUGGAGGAUUUAAUUUGGGCUUGGCAGCGGCUCCAGCCGAGGCUGAGUUACUCCACUCUGCAGGAAGACAACAGAUUAUAAACAGGAUUGUACUCGUCCAGUCUGAAGCGGCCGAGGCAGAGAUGAAUCCUCCACUGUUUCCUGACGUUCUCCUUCAUCAGACAGUGAAAGAGGAAGAUGAAAAGUCCUGAAACACAAAGAGAAGAGACGUCAGAGUCGCUAAAGCUCCGGUGGAUGACACAGUUUUUCUCUGAACGUCUCGGGUUAUUUGUCCCUGAAAAAGACUGUGCUCAGCAGGGGCCAAUCAGCCGAGGGCUUUUUUACGUCAGACUGAGAUAAUACAUGAAAGUACCAUAAGAGUGGUGGACCCAGGAACAGGCAGGUGUGAAACGGUUGCAUCGUUUAGCCUGCUUUGAUUAUUUUCUUCAGACUUAUGUAUGUGGCAGCAAAUGUUCUCUGAACGGUUACUCAACAAACUAACACAAUGGAACGCUCACAAUGGGCUCCAUACAAAUGUGGACACUGUGCCCUGUUGUGCCCUGUUGUGCCCUGUUGUGCCCUGUGAUGCUUUCACUUCACGAGAAGCUGCCAGUUGUGGAGAAGUGAUCAUUACAGUAAUCACCACAAAAAACUAAAAUCAUUCUUGAUUCCAGAUUGAACUGCCUAGAGGGCCGGUUUUGGGCCACGGGCUGUAUGUUUGACACCCCUGUCUUAGAGUAAUUCUCCUAAUUAACUCUUUACACUACGGGCCCUGCCACUAAGGGGUCGUGGAGUUACAGCAGAAAAGUCUAGCAAGGAAGGUUAAUUUUCAGUAUCUCUGUAUUUGUGCUUGUAAUUUGUAAUUGUAUUAUCAAUAAAUAAAAAAAUGCUCAAAA
Molecule: RNA transcript, 1601 nt
Organism: Cynoglossus semilaevis (tongue sole)
Lineage: Eukaryota; Metazoa; Chordata; Actinopteri; Pleuronectiformes; Cynoglossidae
Gene name: adenosine deaminase domain-containing protein 1-like
Exons: 5
Source: RefSeq, a predicted model, not a curated record